ACGUAGGGGGCAAGCGUUGUCCGGAAUCAUUGGGCGUAAAGAGCGUGUAGGUGGACUGGAAGGUCUGGUGUGAAAGCCCGGGGCUCAACCCCGGAGGGUCACUGGAAACCAACAGUCUUGAGUCCGGAAGAGGAGAGUGGAAUUCCUGGUGUAGCGGUGGAAUGCGCAGAUAUCAGGAGGAACACCAAUGGCGAAGGCAGCUCUCUGGUACGUGACUGACACUGAGACGCGAAAGCGUGGGGAGCGAACAGG
RNAcentral lists this ribosomal RNA (252 nucleotides) under uncultured bacterium. RNAcentral's name for it is "partial 16S ribosomal RNA". It matches the Rfam family "Bacterial small subunit ribosomal RNA", at positions 525 to 776 of the family's 1533-position model. The record is from RNAcentral.